This 586-nucleotide ribosomal RNA is filed under the name uncultured bacterium. RNAcentral's name for it is "partial 16S ribosomal RNA". It matches the Rfam family "Bacterial small subunit ribosomal RNA", at positions 355 to 1375 of the family's 1533-position model. The record is from RNAcentral.
UGGGGAAUUUUGGACAAUGGGCGAAAGCCUGAUCCAGCAAUGCCGCGUGUGUGAAGAAGGCCUUCGGGUUGUAAAGCACUUUUGUCCGGAAAGAAAUCCUUGGCUCUAAUACAGUCGGGGGAUGACGGUACCGGAAGAAUAAGCACCGGCUAACUACGUGCCAGCAGCCGCGGUAAUACGUAGGGUGCAAGCGUUAAUCGGAAUUACUGGGCGUAAAGCGUGCGCAGGCGGUUUGCUAAGACCGAUGUGAAAUCCCCGGGCUCAACCUGGGAACUGCAUUGGUGACUGGCAGGCUAGAGUAUGGCAGAGGGGGGUUAGAAUUCCACGUGUAGCAGUGAAAUGCGUAGAGAUGUGGAGGAAUACCGAUGGCGAAGGCAGCCCCCUGGGCCAAUACUGACGCUCAUGCACGAAAGCGUGGGGAGCAAACAGGAUUAGAUACCCUGGUAGUCCACGCCCUAAACGAUGUCAACUAGUUGUUGGGGAUUCAUUUCCUUAGUAACGUAGCUAACGCGUGAAGUUGACCGCCUGGGGAGUACGGUCGCAAGAUUAAAACUCAAAUGAAUUGACGGGGUCAUAGCUGUUUCCU